Molecule: ribosomal RNA, 495 nt
Filed under: uncultured bacterium
Lineage: Bacteria
Description: partial 16S ribosomal RNA
Rfam family: Bacterial small subunit ribosomal RNA
Source: RNAcentral
AUGCACGCUGGCGGCGUGCCUAAUACAUGCAAGUCGAGCGAACAGACGAGGAGCUUGCUCCUUUGACGUUAGCGGCGGACGGGUGAGUAACACGUAGGUAACCUACCUAUAAGACUGGGAUAACUUCGGGAAACCGGAGCUAAUACCGGAUAAUAUUUCGAACCGCAUGGUUCGAUAGUGAAAGAUGGCUUUGCUAUCACUUAUAGAUGGACCUGCGCCGUAUUAGCUAGUUGGUAAGGUAACGGCUUACCAAGGCAACGAUACGUAGCCGACCUGAGAGGGUGAUCGGCCACACUGGAACUGAGACACGGUCCAGACUCCUACGGGAGGCAGCAGUAGGGAAUCUUCCGCAAUGGGCGAAAGCCUGACGGAGCAACGCCGCGUGAGUGAUGAAGGUCUUCGGAUCGUAAAACUCUGUUAUUAGGGAAGAACAAACGUGUAAGUAACGGUGCACGUCUUGACGGUACCUAAUCAGAAAGCCACGGCUAACUACGU